This 1935-nucleotide ribosomal RNA is filed under the name oral metagenome. RNAcentral's name for it is "bacterial LSU rRNA". It matches the Rfam family "Bacterial large subunit ribosomal RNA", at positions 1 to 2002 of the family's 2925-position model. The record is from RNAcentral.
AUAAGUUAUUUAAGGGCGUAUGGGGGAUGCCUAGGCUCUCAGAGGCGAUGAAGGACGUGAUAAGCUGCGAAAAGUUGCGGGGAUUGGCACAUACGAUUUAAUCCGCAAAUAUCCGAAUGGGGCAACCCACCAUUAAUAAUGGUACAUAGAAAUAUGAGCAAACCCACUGAACUGAAACAUCUAAGUAGGUGGAGGAGAAGAAAACAAAAGUGAUUCCGCUAGUAGUGGCGAGCGAACGCGGAAUAGCCCAAACCAAUGUUGUUUCGGCAAUAUUGGGGUUGUAGGACUACGGGCUUCGUUGUUUUAAGAAUUAGAAUUAACUGGAAAGUUAAACAGCAUAGGGUGAUAGUCCCGUAUAGUUAAUUAAAAUAAACGAUAGUAGUAUCCUGAGUAGGACGGGGCACGUGAAACCCUGUUUGAAUCCGCCAGGACCAUCUGGUAAGGCUAAAUACUCCUGAGAGACCGAUAGUGAACUAGUACCGUGAGGGAAAGGUGAAAAGAACCUUGAAUAAAGGAGUGAAAAAGAACCUGAAACCAUACGUCUACAAGCGGUCGGAGCACCUUUAUGGUGUGACGGCGUGCCUUUUGCAUAAUGAGCCUACGAGUUAUUUAUAUUGGCAAGGCUAAGUACUUUAGGUACGCAGCCGUAGCGAAAGCGAGUUUUAAUAGGGCGUUUGAGUCAAUAUGAAUAGACGCGAAACCGUGUGAUCUACCCAUGGGCAGGUUGAAGCGCUGGUAACACAGUGUGGAGGACCGAACCGGUUGUCGUUGAAAAGACUUCGGAUGACCUGUGGGUAGGGGUGAAAGGCCAAUCAAACUCGGAAAUAGCUCGUACUCCCCGAAAUGCAUUUAGGUGCAGCGUUGUUAUAGAUUUAUUAGAGGUAGAGCUACUGAUUGGAUGCGGGGGUUUCACCGCCUACCAAUUCCUGACAAACUCCGAAUGCUAAUAAAUAUUUUACAGCAGUGAGGGCAUGGGUGCUAAGGUCCAUGUCCGAGAGGGGAAUAACCCAGACCAUCAUCUAAGGUCCCAAAAUAUAUGCUAAGUUGAAGAAACGCGGUCAAAUUGCCUUGACAGCUAGGAUGUUGGCUUGGAAGCAGCCAUUCAUUUAAAGAGUGCGUAACAGCUCACUAGUCGAGCGAUUUGGCAUGGAUAAUAAUCGGGCAUAAGCAUAUUACCGAAGCUAUGGGGUAUUAACAAAAUGUUAAUUACUGGUAGGGGAGCAUUCUGUUUGAGUCGAAUCUUAAUUGUGAGAUUAGGUGGAUUAAACAGAAAAGAAAAUGUAGGCAUAAGUAACGAUAAGGCAGGUGAGAAACCUGCCCGCCGAAAGAUCAAGGUUUCCUGAGCUAUGCUAAUCAGCUCAGGGUUAGUCGGGGCCUAACGCUAAUUCGUCAAGGAGAAGUGGAUGGGAAACAGGUUAAUAUUCCUGUACCUGCAUAUAGACAAAAGUGACGGAAUGGACAAUUUACUGCGCAGAGACGGAAUACUGCGUUGAACUUACAGUAAGUGUAAGGAUAGUACUUAAGGAUAUUUUAUCCGAGAGAUAAUGUAGAGGCGACAUUUCCAAGAAAAGCGAUAUAUGUGGCUCGUACCGUAAACCGACACAGGUGAUUGGGAAGAGAAUUCUAAGGCGCUCGAGAGAUUCAUGGCUAAGGAACUAGGCAAAAUAGACCUGUAACUUCGGGAGAAAGGUCGCCCUUCGUAAGGAGGGUCUCAGUAAAACGAUCCAAGCGACUGUUUAUCAAAAACACAGGACUCUGCGAAAUAGCAAUAUGAAGUAUAGGGUCUGACACCUGCCCGGUGCUGGAAGGUUAAGAGGAGAUGUUAGCAUUAGCGACGCAUUGAAUUGAAGCCCCAGUAAACGGCGGCCGUAACUAUAACGGUCCUAAGGUAGCGAAAUUCCUUGUCGGGUAAGUUCCGACCUGCACGAAUGGUGU